AGGUGAACCUGCGGAAGGAUCAUUCAUAAUAAGUGUUUUAUGGCACUUUUUAAAUCCAUAUCCACCUUGUGUGCAAUGUCAGUCGAUCUUCUUCAUGGAGAUCGGCCAAACAUCAACCUUAUUUUUUAACUCUUUGUCUGAAAAAUAUUAUGAAUAAACAAUUCAAAAUACAACUUACAACAACGGAUCUCUUGGCUCUCG
This 201-nucleotide unclassified non-coding RNA is filed under the name uncultured fungus. RNAcentral describes it as "partial contains 18S rRNA, ITS1 and 5.8S rRNA". Lineage: Eukaryota; Fungi. The record is from RNAcentral.